Molecule: ribosomal RNA, 99 nt
Filed under: Trypanosoma vivax Y486
Lineage: Eukaryota; Euglenozoa; Kinetoplastea; Trypanosomatida; Trypanosomatidae
Source: RNAcentral
AUACUUGGCCGAAUGCACCGCAUCCCGUCCGAUUUGCGAAGUUAAGCGGCCACAGGCCCCGUUAGUACGGCGAUCAGUGAUGGCGCUGGAACCCUGGGU